AGCGAACGCUGGCGGCAGGCUUAACACAUGCAAGUCGAGCGGGCAUCCUUGUGGUGUCAGCGGCAGACGGGUGAGUAACGCGUGGGAACGUGCCCUUCGGUUCGGAAUAACUCAGGGAAACUUGAGCUAAUACCGGAUACGCCCUUCUGGGGAAAGGCUUGCUGCCGAAGGAUCGGCCCGCGUCUGAUUAGCUGGUUGGUGAGGUUACGGCUCACCAAGGCGACGAUCAGUAGCUGGUCUGAGAGGAUGAUCAGCCACACUGGGACUGAGACACGGCCCAGACUCCUACGGGAAGAAGCAGUGGGGAAUAUUGGACAAUGGGGGCAACCCUGAUCCAGCCAUGCCGCGUGAGUGAUGACGGCCUUAGGGUUGUAAAGCUCUUUUCUCCGGGACGAUAAUGACGGUACCGGAGGAAUAAGCCCCGGCUAACUUCGUG
RNAcentral lists this ribosomal RNA (436 nucleotides) under uncultured bacterium. Its description in RNAcentral is "partial 16S ribosomal RNA". It matches the Rfam family "Bacterial small subunit ribosomal RNA", at positions 29 to 507 of the family's 1533-position model. The record is from RNAcentral.